AAGCCACUCAGUAGCAGAUGAUCAAGUGUCAGGCGCAAUUUGCGCUUGCGAUAGCAAGGCAGUCUAACCUAUUCCGGUGCUCUCUUCUCCAUGAGACAAGCCAUUAUAUAGACUUCAACAGC
Molecule: small nucleolar RNA, 122 nt
Organism: Sorex fumeus (smoky shrew)
Lineage: Eukaryota; Metazoa; Chordata; Mammalia; Eulipotyphla; Soricidae
Product: small nucleolar RNA SNORA28
Exons: 1
Source: RefSeq, a predicted model, not a curated record